AUACGGAGGGGGUUAGCGUUGUUCGGAAUUACUGGGCGUAAAGCGUACGUAGGCGGAUUGGGAAGUUAGAGGUGAAAUCCCGGGGCUCAACCCCGGAACUGCCUUUAAUACUGCCAGUCUUGAGUUCGAGAGAGGUGAGUGGAAUUCCGAGUGUAGAGGUGAAAUUCGUAGAUAUUCGGAGGAACACCAGUGGCGAAGGCGGCUCACUGGCUCGAUACUGACGCUGAGGUACGAAAGUGUGGGGAGCAAACAGGAUUAGAAACCCUAGUAGUCC
This 274-nucleotide ribosomal RNA is filed under the name uncultured bacterium. RNAcentral describes it as "partial 16S ribosomal RNA". It matches the Rfam family "Bacterial small subunit ribosomal RNA", at positions 523 to 796 of the family's 1533-position model. The record is from RNAcentral.